GACGUAGGGUCCAAGCGUUGUCCGGAUUUACUGGGCGUAAAGCGCGCGUAGGCGGUCUGUUAAGUGCACAAGUGAAAGCUCCGGGCUCAACUCGGAAAUUGCUUUGCAUACUGGCAGGCUGGAGGGACGCAGAGGUCUGUGGAAUUCCCGGUGUAGCGGUGAAAUGCGUAGAGAUCGGGAGGAACACCAGAGGCGAAGGCGGCGACCUGGACAAGUACUGACACUCAACUACGAAAGCGUGGGGAGCAAACAGG
Molecule: ribosomal RNA, 254 nt
Filed under: uncultured bacterium
Lineage: Bacteria
Description: partial 16S ribosomal RNA
Rfam family: Bacterial small subunit ribosomal RNA
Source: RNAcentral